This 253-nucleotide ribosomal RNA is filed under the name uncultured bacterium. Its description in RNAcentral is "partial 16S ribosomal RNA". It matches the Rfam family "Bacterial small subunit ribosomal RNA", at positions 524 to 776 of the family's 1533-position model. The record is from RNAcentral.
GACGUAGGGCGCGAGCGUUGUCCGGAUUUAUUGGGCGUAAAGAGCUCGUAGGCGGUUUGUCGCGUCGUCUGUGAAAACCCACGGCUCAACUGUGGGCUUGCAGUCGAUACGGGCAGGCUAGAGUUCGGUAGGGGAGACUGGAAUUCCCGGUGUAGCGGUGGAAUGCGUAGAGAUCGGGAAGAACAUCAGUGGCGAAGGCGGCCUGCUGGGCUGUUGCUGACGCUGAGGCGCGACAGCGUGGGGAGCAAACAGG